CUGGGCUAUAGAGAGUUGGUUCUGCUGC
RNAcentral lists this non-coding RNA (28 nucleotides) under Homo sapiens (human). Lineage: Eukaryota; Metazoa; Chordata; Mammalia; Primates; Hominidae. The record is from RNAcentral.